AGAAGACUUGAAGGUUUGAGGUGGAAUCGAAUGAAACGAGGAUAUGAAGACUCACAUAUGCAAUAAGGUGGAAAUAAAGGAGUUGAGGAAAAUGGGAACUUUAGAUGACAAAAGGGUUAUGCGAAGUUUACUUGUAAUAUGUGGGAGGUGGAGGUGGUGAUUCAUAUUUGUAUGGUGGAGGUGGGGGUGACUUGUACACAUAUGGAGGAGGUGGUGGUGACUCGUACUUGUAGGGAGGUGGUGGUGGUGACUCGUACUUGUAGGGAGGUGGUGGUGGUGACUCGUACUUGUAGGAGGUGGAGGCGGUGACUCGUACUUGUACGGAGGUGGUGGUGGUGACUUGUACUUGUAUGGAGGAGGUGGUGACUCAUACUUGUACGGAGGAGGUGGUGGUGACUCAUACUUGUACGGAGGUGGUGGUGGUGACUUGUACUUGUAUGGAGGCGGUGGUGGUGACUUGUAUUUGUGGAGGAGGUGGUGGUGACUCAUACUUGUACGGAGGUGGUGGUGGUGACUCAUACUUGUAUGGAGGUGGUGGUGGUGACUCAUACUUGUAUGGAGGUGGAGGUGGUGACC
RNA transcript from Hibiscus syriacus, 576 nucleotides. It is a transcript of the gene named serralysin A-like, with no coding region annotated. The record is from RefSeq and is a predicted model, not a curated record. The transcript is spliced from 7 exons. Lineage: Eukaryota; Viridiplantae; Streptophyta; Magnoliopsida; Malvales; Malvaceae.